UCGAGAAUUUUUCACAAUGGGCGCAAGCCUGAUGGAGCGACGCCGCGUGGGGGAUGAAUGGCUUCGGCCCGUAAACCCCUGUCAUUUGCGAUCAAACCUCGUUAUUUAAAAGAUGACGAGCUGAUGGUAGCGAAAGAGGAAGGGACGGCUAACUCUGUGCCAGCAGCCGCGGUAAUACAGAGGUCCCAAGCGUUGUUCGGAUUCACUGGGCGUAAAGGGUGCGUAGGUGGUGGGGUAAGUCGGAUGUGAAAGCUCGGAGCUCAACUCCGAAAUGGCAUUGGAAACUGCCCUGCUAGAGGAUUGGAGGGGGGACUGGAAUACUUGGUGUAGCAGUGAAAUGCGUAGAUAUCAAGUGGAACACCAGUGGCGAAGGCGAGUCCCUGGACAACUCCUGACACUGAGGCACGAAAGCUAGGGGAGCAAACAGG
Molecule: ribosomal RNA, 428 nt
Filed under: Fusobacteriota bacterium
Lineage: Bacteria; Fusobacteriati; Fusobacteriota
Description: Fusobacteria bacterium partial 16S ribosomal RNA
Rfam family: Bacterial small subunit ribosomal RNA
Source: RNAcentral